RNAcentral lists this long non-coding RNA (520 nucleotides) under Pogona vitticeps (central bearded dragon). Its description in RNAcentral is "lncRNA (ENSPVIG00000004284.1)". The record is from RNAcentral. Lineage: Eukaryota; Metazoa; Chordata; Lepidosauria; Squamata; Agamidae.
CCGCUUUUUGUUUUGUUUUGUUUAUUAAAGCAGUGUAUAUCCACAAAUAUGUAAAGUGAUGGAAGAAAUGUAAGAUAGAGCUCCAAAAGGAAUGCAACCUGGUGUGGGAGGCAACCAGCCAUUCUUCACCAUAAGAUAUGCUAGCAAGAACCAAUGAAAGAUGCAAUCAUUUUUAGAUAGCAUUCGGAGGGCCUAUAAAGAGUGCACUCCUGCUCUCAAAGAAUUCACAGAAGCAUAAUUCAAUGAACAGACUGGGAAUCUCUGCUGACAUGUCUCACAAUGAUGUAUGGAACAUAUGAAGUGGAGUCUUCAUGCAAAGAUUGGAUCAUAUGGAUUUGGCAGUUCCCAUCCCAACGCUCAUCUUCAUUGGUGGGACAUAAUGGAACUGAAUCCUCCAUUCAUUCUGGAACUGGAUUGUUGCAGUCCAGGUUCAUAUCCUUAAUCCACUUAAACCAGAGAAGGCAAAGCUGCUCCUCAUUAGUUGAAAGGUAGCUGAAGUGGGGAUGGGGUUGCACUCUCU